CGCCAGGUCGCGCACAGCUCCCCGAGCCCAGGCGCCUCCCCGCCCCCUCCCCGCGCUCCGCGGCGGCGGCGGCGGCAGCAGUAGCAGCAAUAUGGCUGUUGAUGGGUGUUCGGGGUGGCGCUGGCGGCGGGAGGAGCUCCCCCGAGCCCCUGCGCCGGCUGCCCGUUGCUAGCUAUGGCAAAUGGUGGCGGCGGCGGCGGUAGCAGCGGCGGCGGCGGCGGCGGCGGCGGAGGCAGCACUCUUAGAAUGAGUAGCAAUAUCCACGCGAACCUUCUCAGCCUAGACGCGUCCUCCUCCUCCUCCUCUUCCUCCUCCUCUUCUUCCUCCUCCUCUUCCUCCUCGUCCUCGGUCCACGAGCCCAAGAUGGAUGCGCUCAUCAUCCCGGUGACCAUGGAGGUGCCGUGCGACAGCCGGGGCCAGCGCAUGUGGUGGGCUUUCCUGGCCUCCUCCAUGGUGACUUUCUUCGGGGGCCUCUUCAUCAUCUUGCUCUGGCGGACGCUCAAGUACCUGUGGACCGUUUGCUGCCACUGCGGGGGCAAGACGAAGGGUUGUUCGUGGCUGCGGCUGGGGCCGGGGUGAGAGGUAGGGAGAGCCGACUCGGCGGGCACCGAGCAAGCUGGGGGCCGCUCGGUGCGCGUUCCGCGCGGCUCACCUGCCGGGGCUCGGCUCCUUGUGGUGGGCGAGGGGGAGCACGUCAGCCCGCACUUUAGAAACCUGUUGGGGAGAUGAGUUCGGAAAAUCAGAAGGGCAGGAAAAUCCUUUGAGAAAGGGAGGACAUCUUUUGGACUGGGGGAUCCCAGGGGAGGAACAUGACCAGAGGACGUGCGGGGGACCUGGAGGGGUCCCCGGAAAUGCCCCCGGCAGCGUGGAGCUAGAGCCGGAGGUCCGCCCGAGAGCCCGCCGAGGCCGAGGUUUUCACGCGAGCCUCCUCCCUGACGCUUUUGAGGUGGCUCGAUGUCGGCUUUAA
Non-coding RNA from Lipotes vexillifer (Yangtze River dolphin), 967 nucleotides. Lineage: Eukaryota; Metazoa; Chordata; Mammalia; Artiodactyla; Lipotidae. The record is from RefSeq and is a predicted model, not a curated record.